RNAcentral lists this ribosomal RNA (239 nucleotides) under uncultured Lactobacillus sp. RNAcentral describes it as "partial 16S ribosomal RNA". It matches the Rfam family "Bacterial small subunit ribosomal RNA", at positions 125 to 354 of the family's 1533-position model. Lineage: Bacteria; Bacillati; Bacillota; Bacilli; Lactobacillales; Lactobacillaceae. The record is from RNAcentral.
CCUGCCCCAUAGUCUGGGAUACCACUUGGAAACAGGUGCUAAUACCGGAUAAGAAAGCAGAUCGCAUGAUCAGCUUUUAAAAGGCGGCGUAAGCUGUCGCUAUGGGAUGGCCCCGCGGUGCAUUAGUUAGUUGGUAAGGUAAAGGCUUACCAAGGCGAUGAUGCAUAAGCCGAGUUGAGAGACUGAUCGGCCACAUUGGGACUGAGACACGGCCCAAACUCCUACGGGAGGCAGCAGGC